This 22-nucleotide ribosomal RNA is filed under the name Histoplasma capsulatum var. duboisii. RNAcentral's name for it is "partial 18S ribosomal RNA". Lineage: Eukaryota; Fungi; Ascomycota; Eurotiomycetes; Onygenales; Ajellomycetaceae. The record is from RNAcentral.
AACCUGCGGAAGGAUCAUUACC